UGCGCACACACAGUGCACACUCCCUCUAAGCAUCUCUUUUCCUCCCUCUUUUUCGAAAGAGUGAUCCCCCGCCAGAGCCCUCAAUUUUCUCAGAUCGAACCCCUAAUUUUCUCGGGAAAACGAAGAGGAAAGGAAAUAGAAAAAGAAUAUGCCGCGAGAAAUCAUCACUCUGCAAGUGGGACAAUGUGGGAACCAGAUCGGGAUGGAGUUCUGGAAGCAACUCUGCCUCGAGCACGGCAUCAGCAAAGAUGGCAUCCUCGAAGAUUUCGCUACUCAGGGAGGUGACAGAAAAGACGUGUUUUUCUACCAAGCUGAUGAUCAACACUACAUACCACGAGCUUUGCUGAUUGAUUUGGAGCCUAGGGUUAUUAAUGGUAUUCAGAACAGUGAAUAUAGAAAUCUCUACAAUCAUGAGAAUGUAUUUAUUGCAGAUCAUGGAGGUGGUGCUGGAAAUAACUGGGCCAGUGGAUAUCAUCAGGGGAAGGGUGUUGAGGAGGACAUAAUGGAUAUGAUUGAUAGAGAAGCAGAUGGAAGUGAUAGUCUUGAGGGUUUUGUUUUAUGCCACUCAAUAGCUGGAGGAACAGGAUCAGGUAUGGGUUCAUAUUUGCUGGAGACUCUGAAUGAUCGCUACAGCAAAAAACUUGUUCAGACAUAUAGUGUAUUCCCUAACCAGAUGGAGACAAGUGAUGUGGUGGUCCAGCCUUACAAUUCACUUUUGACCCUCAAGAGACUUACCCUAAAUGCUGAUUGUGUUGUUGUUCUUGAUAAUACUGCACUCAAUAGAAUUGCUGUGGAGCGACUUCAUCUUGCAAAUCCUACUUUUGCUCAAACAAAUUCAUUGGUGUCUACUGUCAUGUCAGCAAGCACAACCACAUUGCGUUAUCCUGGAUAUAUGAACAAUGACUUAGUUGGCCUUCUUGCCUCCUUAAUUCCAACGCCAAGAUGCCAUUUUCUAAUGACUGGAUACACACCACUUACAGUGGAGCGCCAGGCUAAUGUGAUUCGUAAAACUACUGUGCUAGAUGUUAUGAGGAGACUUCUGCAGACAAAGAAUAUCAUGGUUUCCUCUUAUGCUCGCACAAAAGAAGCUAGUCAGGCGAAAUACAUAUCAAUAUUGAAUAUUAUUCAAGGGGAAGUGGACCCUACUCAGGUUCAUGAAAGUUUGCAGAGAAUACGUGAAAGAAAACUUGUUAAUUUUAUUGAAUGGGGUCCUGCAAGCAUUCAGGUUGCUUUGUCUAGAAAAUCUCCAUAUGUUCAAACUGCUCAUAGGGUCAGUGGACUCAUGCUCGCAAGUCAUACUAGUAUCCGGCACCUCUUCAGUAAGUGUUUAAGCCAGUAUGAGAAGUUGAGAAAGAAGCAAGCGUUUCUUGACAACUAUAGGAAGUUCCCAAUGUUUGCUGACAAUGAUCUUUCGGAAUUUGAUGAAUCAAGGGAUAUAAUUGAGAGUUUGGUUGAUGAAUAUAAAGCAUGCGAAUCUCCAGAUUACAUCAAAUGGGGAAUGGAGGAUCCAGACCACAUUCUGACUGGAGAAGGCAAUGUUACAGGCACAGUGGAUCCAAAAUUAUCACUGUGAACUAAACAAGUUUUAGCAUUUGCUGCUGAACUACCUGGAGGGAUGACAGGAAAAUGGGAUAGAUAUGUUUGUGUUCCAGUUUUUGCAGCCCUUUUGAACAUGUUUGCAGCAAAAAUGGCAAUGCGAUGAUGAAUCAUGAAUAUGGUUUUUUUUUUUUUUGGAUUUCAAAUUCAAAUUGAUCAUCCCAACCUAUUCUUCUUCAAAUUGGAUUUUGUUUGCAAGGUAAGAGCCAAACAAACAACAAUAGGAAGCUGAUGAUUAAAGACAGUGAACAAUACAAGCUGUCCCAGUCCUCCCUAGUUUGUCCAUGAAAAAGUUUUUGCCAGCUAUUCACACCCCCACCCCACCCCAAAAAUCCUA
Molecule: non-coding RNA, 1933 nt
Organism: Camellia sinensis
Lineage: Eukaryota; Viridiplantae; Streptophyta; Magnoliopsida; Ericales; Theaceae
Source: RefSeq, a predicted model, not a curated record